RNAcentral lists this ribosomal RNA (452 nucleotides) under uncultured bacterium. RNAcentral describes it as "bacterial SSU rRNA". It matches the Rfam family "Bacterial small subunit ribosomal RNA", at positions 1 to 507 of the family's 1533-position model. The record is from RNAcentral.
CAUGCUAGACGAGUUUGAUCAUGGCUUAGAACGAACGCUGGCGGCAGGCCUAACACAUGCAAGUCGAACGAUAUAGUGGCAGACGGGUGAGUAACGCGUGGGAACGUACCUUUCGCUACGGAAUAGCUCUGGGAAACUGGUGGUAAUACCGUAUACGCCCUUAGGGGGAAAGAUUUAUCGGCGAAAGAUCGGCCCGCGUUAGAUUAGGUAGUUGGUGGGGUAAUGGCCUACCAAGCCUACGAUCUAUAGCUGGUCUGAGAGGAUGAUCAGCCACACUGGGACUGAGACACGGCCCAGACUCCUACGGGAGGCAGCAGUGGGGAAUCUUGCACAAUGGGCGAAAGCCUGAUGCAGCCAUGCCGCGUGAAUGAUGAAGGCCUUAGGGUUGUAAAAUUCUUUCGCUAGGGAUGAUAAUGACAGUACCCAGUAAAGAAGCCCCGGCUAACUUCGUG